RNAcentral lists this long non-coding RNA (778 nucleotides) under Homo sapiens (human). RNAcentral's name for it is "novel transcript". Lineage: Eukaryota; Metazoa; Chordata; Mammalia; Primates; Hominidae. The record is from RNAcentral.
AAGCGAUCCUCCCAACUCGGCCUCCAAAAGUUUACAGGCGUGAGCCACGGUGCCCAGCCUCCUGUGCCUUUUAAUUCACUGAUGCAAUUGUUGAUCCAGCCCUGUCAGCCCCGAGGGUAGGGUCUGAGGUUGCUGCUGUAUCCCUGGCACUCAGUGGAGGCUUGGCCCAAAGAAAGAGGUUUUUUUGUUUUUUUUUUUUUUUCCCAAGACGGGAGUCUCACUCUGUCACCCAGGCUGGAGUGCAGUGGCAUGAUCUCAGCUCACUGCAACCUCUGCCUCCUGGGUUCAAGCGAUUCUUCUGCCUCAGCCUACCGAGUAGCUGGGAUUACAGGCACGUGUCAACACGCCCAGCUAAUUUUUGUAUUUUUAGUAGAGAUGGGUUUUCACCAUGUUGGCUAGGUUGGUCUCAAACUCCUGACCUCAGGUGAUCCACCCACCUCAGCCUCCGAAAGUGCCUGGAUUACAGGCGUAAGCCACUGCGCUCGGCCCAAAUUUUCUCCCCAGGAAUCUGGAACGAUGAAGGUGAUGAUUGUGCCUGUGGCCAAGACCGGGAGAACCCUGGAUCCCUACACCUUCCCCACCCCUGGAAUGUCACUAUACAUAUCUGACUUCUUCUGAUGUUGCCUUUGACCCUAAAGUCAAUAUGAUAAAGUAACAAGAAGCUGGGACAGAGGAACAAACACAGCCCACUCAAGCAGUGGUGGCAACAUUCUGUUAGAAAGGAGGGGAGUCAAAGAAAAAAACACCCCUCCGCCCAUCUCCUUAUCACCUCCCUAAA